GAAAAAUGCAAUAUAAUAAACCGCUGGUAUGGGAUAUAUGAACACCAGAUGAGACCGCAUUGCAGAUGCUGGAAAUCUGGAGCAACACAUUCAAAACACUGGAGGAACUCAGCAGAGGGUUGUGAAUCUUUGGAACCCUUGCCCAGAGGCCGUGGAAGUGCAGUUGUUCAAUGUAUAUGCGAUAGUGGCCGAUGGAUCUUUGGAUAUCAGAGGAGAUGGGAAUCAAACAGGAAUGUGGAUCUGCAGAACAGUUCCAGCCAAGAACCCUGAAUCUAUCAAUCACUGGCUCUACGUUAUCGCUGGGCGUAAAUCCCGGAGCUACCUCCCCAACAGCACCAAGGAAGCACCUGCACGUUUCAAGAUUCAAGAUUGUUUCGUGUCAUUUCCAGUACACAA
Mobula hypostoma (lesser devil ray) is the source of this 396-nucleotide long non-coding RNA. RefSeq lists it as uncharacterized. The record is from RefSeq and is a predicted model, not a curated record. The transcript is spliced from 3 exons. NCBI's taxonomy places the organism in Eukaryota, Metazoa, Chordata, Chondrichthyes, Myliobatiformes, Myliobatidae.